RNAcentral lists this ribosomal RNA (714 nucleotides) under uncultured bacterium. Its description in RNAcentral is "bacterial SSU rRNA". It matches the Rfam family "Bacterial small subunit ribosomal RNA", at positions 62 to 771 of the family's 1533-position model. The record is from RNAcentral.
UCGAGCGGCAGCGCGGGGCAACCUGGCGGCGAGCGGCGAACGGGUGAGUAAUGCAUCGGAACGUGUCCCGUAGUGGGGGAUAACCCGGCGAAAGCCGGACUAAUACCGCAUAUKCUCUACGGAGGAAAGCGGGGGAUUCGCAAGAACCUCGCGCUAUGGGAGCGGCCGAUGUCCGAUUAGCUUGUUGGUGRGGUAAUGGCUUACCAAGGCGACGAYCGGUAGCUGGUCUGAGAGGAUGAUCAGCCACACUGGGACUGAGACACGGCCCAGACUCCUACGGGAGGCAGCAGUGGGGAAUUUUGGACAAUGGGGGCAACCCUGAUCCAGCCAUGCCGCGUGCGGGAAGAAGGCCUUCGGGUUGUAAACCGCUUUUGUCCGGAAAGAAAAGGCRYCWCCUAAUACGGGRYGUUCUUGACGGUACCGGAAGAAUAAGCACCGGCUAACUACGUGCCAGCAGCCGCGGUAAUACGUAGGGUGCGAGCGUUAAUCGGAAUUACUGGGCGUAAAGCGUGCGCAGGCGGUCCGCAAAGUCUGAUGUGAAAGCCCCGGGCUCAACCUGGGAACUGCAUUGGAAACUAACGGGCUYGAGUGUGGCAGAGGGGGGUGGAAUUCCACGUGUAGCAGUGAAAUGCGUAGAGAUGUGGAGGAACACCGAUGGCGAAGGCAGCCCCCUGGGCUAACACUGACGCUCANGCACGAAAGCGUGGGGAGCAA